GAACAAUGUAUAAACUAUGACCAACUCAGUGCAGAGGGUACACACUGCUGAGAUGGGCGAUUAAGGAAUGGCAAAGAGGGAUACCUUUAGCAUAUGCCUUUUGACCGUAGGCGACUCGGUCUUGAAGAGAUUAAUUUCUCAACAAUCGUUUAGUGCAAUAAUUGAAUAGGAAUAAGACAGUAAGUGAAAGGGCGAGACAAUAGACGCUCUCUGUGAGAGAAUAACCCUAGAUGGUCGGCUGAUGUGGUAGUCAGUGACGGACAAAGGGAAUACCAAUACCAAUAACUCGUUUAGCAGUGAUGCUGGGUUUCCAGCUAUAACUUUUGCUUAUGUACCAGUAGCCGAAUCUGCUAUAGAUAAAGAAAAUAAUGGAGCAGAACUCCCUAUAGUUUAAAUUUUUCUGAAAGUCGGUGAAAGUUGUGGGUCACAAUCCCAUAUGGUUUUAGGUCAAUGCUUCGGCGUUGAUGGUAUAAGAAGCCUAGGAGUCGCUCUCCUUUGCUCAGACUUAUAUCACCAUUAGUCUAAUAAUUUGGUUCAAUUGUUUGUAAGGGGAAACCUUGGUCGUGAUUUAUAGUUCUU
This 579-nucleotide non-coding RNA is filed under the name unclassified sequences. Its description in RNAcentral is "ROOL RNA". It matches the Rfam family "ROOL RNA". From Rfam's summary of the family: Firmicutes, Fusobacteria (1 example), Tenericutes (1 example). Environment (Cow rumen (57)) The record is from Rfam by way of RNAcentral.